UGGUGGAGGAUGGGAUUUGAUAGCUCCCAAUAAUAGUUUUAAAUUGAGGACGAGAUCUGCUAUCGAAGUAUCGUUGGGAAUGUUCUAAUUGUAUAUUGUAUCAUAUUAAUCGUAUAUUAUUGUAUAUUAAUUAUAUGCUAUGUUUUAUUAAUUGUGUACUAUAUUGUAUUAAGUGUGUACUGUGGUAUAUUAAGUUUGUAUCGUUCUAUAUUAAGUGUGUAUUAUGCUAUAUUAAGUAUAUAUGUAUCAUUCUAUACUAAGUGU
This 264-nucleotide long non-coding RNA is filed under the name Elaeis guineensis (African oil palm). RNAcentral describes it as "long non-coding RNA (EGUI_LNC038644)". The record is from RNAcentral. Lineage: Eukaryota; Viridiplantae; Streptophyta; Magnoliopsida; Arecales; Arecaceae.